UUGCAUGUUUAUUUUUUUGUUAUUAUGUUAUUGUUUUUUGUUUUAAUUGUUCGUUUCCUAGUUUUAAAUUACUUAGUUUAAUUAUUAGACCUUAUUUUUUAUAUAUAAUAAUUGAACCACACGGGCUAAAUACACGGUCAUGUGGCCCACACGACCAAGUGACAUGACCUUGUGGAUAUUGAAAAUCGAUGCUUGGGAAACCAC
Molecule: long non-coding RNA, 204 nt
Filed under: Gossypium raimondii (Peruvian cotton)
Lineage: Eukaryota; Viridiplantae; Streptophyta; Magnoliopsida; Malvales; Malvaceae
Description: long non-coding RNA (GRAI_LNC008062)
Source: RNAcentral